AUACGUAGGGGGCGAGCGUUGUCCGGAAUGAUUGGGCGUAAAGGGCGCGUAGGCGGCCCGGUAAGUCUGGAGUGAAAGUCCUGUUUUUAAGAUGGGAAUUGCUUUGGAUACUGUCGGGCUUGAGUGCAGGAGAGGUAAGUGGAAUUCCCAGUGUAGCGGUGAAAUGCGUAGAGAUUGGGAGGAACACCAGUGGCGAAGGCGACUUACUGGACUGUAACUGACGCUGAGGCGCGAAAGUGUGGGGAGCAAACAGGAUUAGAUACCCUGGUAGUCCACACUGUAAACGAUGAAUGCUAGGUGUAGGGGGUAUCGACCCCUUCUGAGCCGCAGUCAACACAAUAAGCAUUCCGCCUGGGGAGUACGGCCGCAAGGUUGAAACUCAAAGGAAUUGACGGGG
RNAcentral lists this ribosomal RNA (397 nucleotides) under uncultured bacterium. RNAcentral's name for it is "partial 16S ribosomal RNA". It matches the Rfam family "Bacterial small subunit ribosomal RNA", at positions 523 to 918 of the family's 1533-position model. The record is from RNAcentral.